GCCGGGCAUGGUGGUGUGCGCCUGUAAUCCCAGCUACUUGGGAGGCUGAGACGGGAGAAUCGCUUGAACCCAGGAGGCGGAGGUUGCAGUGAGGCGAGAUUGCACCACUGCACUCCAGCCUGGGCAAAAGAGCAAGAUUCCGUCUCAA
This 148-nucleotide non-coding RNA is filed under the name Theropithecus gelada (gelada). Lineage: Eukaryota; Metazoa; Chordata; Mammalia; Primates; Cercopithecidae. The record is from Rfam by way of RNAcentral.